CUCGGUGGGUCCGACCCCUACUCCCUGCAGACGCAAAUUCCAGCGGGGUCGCAGCUGCAGAGCCCGUCCGUGUAACUAAACAUAAAAAAGACAGCCGAUUAGCCCUGGCCAGGUGGCUCAGUGGGUUGGAGCGUGGUCUCGUACCCCAAAGGGCUGGGGUUCGAUCGCGGUCAGAAGUCGUACUUAGGCUGCGGGGUGCGGCGGGGUGGGUUGGUCCCGACCGACCGGGCGCGAAUCGGAGGCGACCGAACCCUGUGUCUCUCUCCAGUCUUACUGUGACAUGGCCCUGAGCGACAACUUUGUUACCACUAGACUCUGUAAGCUCCUACUCUGACUGGUGAACAGCAGCGUUUCGAAUUAACAACAAUCCAGAGCGAGAUCAAGCUCACCCCGCCCCGUCUGCAGGAACAAGCCUGCGGUCCGGCAGUCAGGGGUGUGGAGCCAUUGCCAGGAGGGGGACGAGGACCGUGGGUGCCUCACCAAAGUAACAGCGGUUGCAGGACUGCGCGGAAGCAUGCAGGCAGUUACAUUUCUUGAAGCUGAAAUAGAUGAAGAGGAAAGAACAGCAAGUGGCCAAACGAAAUGCAGGAGGGCUGACACCAGGACAGCAGGACCUGCAUACAUACAUGUGAAUUGCGCGUGUGUAACACACUCAAGCAGAGGGCCAGCCUUUGAGCUGGAGGGAGGGUCGUCGCCUUGGAAAUUUUACCAUGUAGCUGGGCAGCCUGUCUUUCAUUAGCAGCUCACUAGGGGAGAGUUAAAUCCCUUAAGAGCUGAAUCUCCAAAAGCACAGUGAUAAAGUGAUGGCUUUCUCGCUGGUAUGACUCUCCUGAUGUGAGGCACUGGAGAACUCAUCCAGCGAAGCGGCGUGCUGCACUGCGAGCGUCCUGAUGCUGAGUGAUGGCGGCAGGUGCAGGAGAGCUCCCCACAGUCACUGCGCUCCCCAAGGUCUCUGGAUGGCGACCAAGGUGAAAACUGGCUGCAGGCUUUUGCACACUCCUGACACUCACACGGCUUCUCUGCAGGGUGACUUCGCCGACGCUGAGUAAGCUGUCCCUUUUGCCUGAAUGUUUGCCCACGCCCAUGCCAUCCACCAGGUUUUCCUCCAGUGUGGGGUGUCUGGUGGCAGGUAAGGGACAGGUGAGCGCCCAGGGCUUUUCCACACACUGCAGACACAAGGCUUCUCUCCGGGGUGAAUCACCGACAUUGAAUAACUUGUGAGCGCUGACUGGAGAAUUUUCCACAUUCCUUAUACCGAUAGGGUUUCUCCCCACUGUAAAUUCCCUGAUGGACAAUAAGGAAGCAAGCAGUUCAGGCGAAAGGAUUUUCCACACUCAUGGCACUCAUAGGGUUUUUCUUGUGUAUCAAUCCCCUGAUGCAAAAUAAGGGAUAAUUGUGCACCAACAGCUGUGCCGCAGCCAGCACAGGCAUGCGGGUGUCUCCAGUACCAGUUCUCCGGCGCCACAUGAAGGGUGACUGUCGACCGGAGGCUCUCCCACACUCCCUGCCCCUGUGAGGUUUCUCUCCACCGAGGCCUCCCUGGGGACGAAGCCAGUCCGGCCAGAGUGGCGGUAUCAGGUGGCAAGUGGUCAGAAUCUAGGUUCAUGUCAAAGGGUUUGCUGAAUUGGAUGUGUGAUGAGACAGCAAGACUUUUGGCCCAAGCAAUAGAGAUGAUGAAAUUUGCAUUCACGCAGAAGGAUGAGACUGUAGGAGUAUAUCUGAAGGGUAAAAAUGGAGGGUUGUUCUGUACAUAUCUGUGUAAGAUGCCUGUUGGACUUAGACGUGGAGGGUUAAGCAUCUGGAUGUACAGUUAACCCUUGACCAACACAGGUUUGGACUGUGCGGGGCCACUGGCAUGUGGAUUAUCUUCCAUAAGCACAUGAAGCGUUUUUGCUACCCGGUUGGGAGUCAAUGGGUGCAUUUCACGUGGGAGCUCGAGCUUUGCAGAUUUUGGUGCUUGCUGGGGGAAGGGGUGCUCUGAAACCAACUGUCUGUGGAUACUGAAGUACAAGUUAAUUUGGGGGCAGUCAAAAGUUAUGUGCAGAUUUUCCACGGCAGGGGUUGUGUGAGUCAGCACCUGACACCGCCGCCGUUCAAGAGUUGACUGCACAGGUCCAAACUCCAGGAGACAGGCCGCGGCUGGCUGGGUGCACACCGGGAACUGUCAGCGCGUGUGACUUUCAGAACCACAGGCUGAACUUUUACUUUAGGCUGAAAGGUAACACGAGGUUUCACUCUCAGGAAAACCUCCCCUGCCGGCCUCUAAUACAUAGCUUGCCUCCAUCCCCACGGCACCUCCGUGCAAAUAAACCCAUCAGUUCAAGUGGAAGCGAGCCCCUUUCCCCUGGUCCAGCCACUGUGGCCCUAGAGGACCACAAGGCCCAGCCCUGGUCAACAAAACACGAAGGGCAGUUUGCCAAGAGGCUUCCAGGAAGGGCUUUCCUUCCCCAGUCACAACAAGGAAACAAUGAGAAACACCUCUGUUUGGAGUGACCAUGAGGGAACACCAGGAGAACCUCGAAGACACGUCCCAGGGGAAACCCUGGGCCCAUCUCCAUCACUGAGGCCUGUGUUGCGCAGGUUUUCCCGAAAGGCAGGUGACCCCAGGCAUGCGGAUGCUCGAGUCAUUCCUCAGGGCGGGGCCUUCCCAAGUCUCCACCUGAGCCCAGUGGGCCUGUGAGCGGCGGCCCCUGGCGCUCACGCCCUCUGCGUCUCUCUCGUGUCUCUCGUGGUCGGCCUUCACUUCCGGACUCAUCCAGGGAAGCACGGGCUCCGGACUCCAACAGGACUAGGUUCCCAUGAGGGGCAUCCACCUAUGAACACAAAGGUCUCAGGUAAGCACCUUGACUUAUCCACACACAUCUCUGAAGUGACUAUUUUGAGAGUUCAGUAAGAAAAAGGUAAAAAGCUCUUCGCACAUUGUCCACCAAUCACACACAGUGGGGUCCUCACGAAAUCUGACCACACCAUCCAUUGGUGUCACUGCUCAUGCACUGGAAUGAAUGGCUCGCCUGGGCCUGCCCUGCACAGCCUCCACUUUCCGCUGCUGAAUCUGCUCCUGUCCAGAAGCACCU
This is a long non-coding RNA of Phyllostomus hastatus (greater spear-nosed bat), 3074 nucleotides long. RefSeq lists it as uncharacterized. Lineage: Eukaryota; Metazoa; Chordata; Mammalia; Chiroptera; Phyllostomidae. The record is from RefSeq and is a predicted model, not a curated record. The transcript is spliced from 3 exons.